This is a long non-coding RNA of Folsomia candida, 496 nucleotides long. RefSeq lists it as uncharacterized. The transcript has 2 exons. The record is from RefSeq and is a predicted model, not a curated record. Lineage: Eukaryota; Metazoa; Arthropoda; Collembola; Entomobryomorpha; Isotomidae.
AAUUCAAAAAUGAAUGAGUUGAUUGCAAUUUAAUCUGUUUUUUUAUCAUUUUUUUCCCAAAAAUGGGGCAAAAUGGUACGCCACGAAGCGUGGUAAAUGUGGUUGUCUUCGCUGUUUUUUCCCAUCACAACCAAAUCUUCAUCAUCAACUAAUCAAGCUUAUCACCGAGUUACUCUCCACAAGCUUAUCAUCUCUCUCCACCAGCUUACCGAGUGGCAAGCUGGUGGAGACACUAAAACCACAAACCGGUAAGAAAGUCUUAUCUUGUCACGAAGCAGUGACCACGAACCACGACCCGACUUCCGUUCGUCAAAGAAGUUUUACUCUUUGUUCACAUCUGAUUGAAGUGUGACGAUGGCCGUCCCUGCAAAAUUCCUGGUAACCCAGCUCUCUGAUGAGAACUAUAAUUCUUAUUUGUGCGAGAAAAUUCAAGAAAAAUGGGACAUUUUAGAGGUGGGUCAUCAUAUUCAUCAAGAAGUCAUCAAGAAAUUUUUAA